GAUGAAGAACGCAGCGAAAUGCGAUACGUAAUGUGAAUUGCAAAUUCAGUGAAUCAUCGAGUCUUUGAACGCACAUUGCGCCCCCUGGUAUUCCGGGGGGCAUGCCUGUCCGAGCGUCAUUGCUGCCCUCAAGCACGGCUUGUGUGUUGGGCCCCGUCCUCCGAUCCCGGGGGACGGGCCCGAAAGGCAGCGGCGGCACCGCGUCCGGUCCUCGAGCGUAUGGGGCUUUGUCACCCGCUCUGUAGGCCCGGCCCGCUUGCCGAUCAACCCAAAUUUUUAUCCAGGUUGACCUCGGAUCAGGUAGGGAUACCCGCUGAACUUAAGCAUAUCAAUAAGCGGAGGA
RNAcentral lists this unclassified non-coding RNA (343 nucleotides) under soil metagenome. RNAcentral's name for it is "partial contains 5.8S ribosomal RNA, internal transcribed spacer 2, and large subunit ribosomal RNA". The stretch from base 1 to 119 matches the Rfam family "5.8S ribosomal RNA", at positions 35 to 154 of the family's 154-position model. The record is from RNAcentral.